RNAcentral lists this transfer RNA (74 nucleotides) under Termitidicoccus mucosus. Its description in RNAcentral is "Opitutaceae bacterium TSB47 tRNA". It matches the Rfam family "tRNA". From Rfam's summary of the family: Transfer RNA (tRNA) molecules are approximately 80 nucleotides in length. Their secondary structure includes four short double-helical elements and three loops (D, anti-codon, and T loops). Lineage: Bacteria; Pseudomonadati; Verrucomicrobiota; Opitutia; Opitutales; Opitutaceae. The record is from Rfam by way of RNAcentral.
GGACCCUUAGCUCAGUUGGUUAGAGCGUUUCCUUGACAUGGAAAAGGUCGAUGGUUCGAGUCCAUUAGGGUCCA